UUGACCUCAAAUCAGGUAGGACUACCCGCUGAACUUAAGCAUAUCAAUAAGCGGAGGAAAAGAAACUAACAAGGAUUCCCCUAGUAACUGCGAGUGAAGCGGGAAAAGCUCAAAUUUAAAAUCUGGCGGUCCUUGUGGCCGUCCGAGUUGUAAUUUAGAGAAGUGUUAUCCGCGCUGGACCGUAUACAAGUCUCCUGGAAUGGAGCGUCAUAGAGGGUGAGAAUCCCGUCUUUGAUACGGACUGCCAGGGCAUUGUGAUGCGCUCUCAAAGAGUCGAGUUGUUUGGGAAUGCAGCUCAAAAUGGGUGGUAAAUUCCAUCUAAAGCUAAAUAUUGAGGAGAGACCGAUAGCGAACAAGUACCGUGAGGGAAAGAUGAAAAGAACUUUGGAAAGAGAGUUAAACAGUACGUGAAAUUGCUGAAAGGGAAACGCUUGAAGUCAGUCGCGUUGUUCAGGACUCAGCCUUGCUUUGCUUGGUGUACUUCCUGUUCGACGGGUCAGCAUCAAUUUUGGUCGGUGGAUAAAGGCUUAGAGAAUGUGGCAUCCUCGGAUGUGUUAUAGCUCUGGGUCGCAUACAUCGGCUGGGAUUGAGGAACUCAACACGCCGCAAGGCCGGGUACUUGUACCACGUACG
This 633-nucleotide ribosomal RNA is filed under the name Mycena galopus. Its description in RNAcentral is "eukaryotic LSU rRNA". It matches the Rfam family "Eukaryotic large subunit ribosomal RNA", at positions 1 to 620 of the family's 3401-position model. The record is from RNAcentral. Lineage: Eukaryota; Fungi; Basidiomycota; Agaricomycetes; Agaricales; Mycenaceae.